This 616-nucleotide long non-coding RNA is filed under the name Meriones unguiculatus (Mongolian gerbil). Its description in RNAcentral is "lncRNA (ENSMUGG00000014167.1)". The record is from RNAcentral. Lineage: Eukaryota; Metazoa; Chordata; Mammalia; Rodentia; Muridae.
CCCGGCCGCUGCAGAGCCUGCACCUCUACGCUCGGGCAAGCAGCCGCGGGUCCUCGCUGUGCCAAGGGAGCCCAGGAGAGUGCAGACUCAGUGAGAAGCGGCCACUGCCCUGCAGGAUGAAAGGAUGAAUGGCUCCGGGCCCAUUGCACAAUCUCCGGUAUAAUUAGCCAAGGGCGGAGGCGCAGGGCUCAUCCCCGGGGUGGCACACUCUCAGAUCGGUUUCCCUUUCGGCUGCAUAGCCAGGAUUUUAUUAAAUAGGGACGAAAGGCCCCUGUCCGGCCUUCCUCCGUGAGGGUUCAGGUAUUAUGAAUGAGAAGGCAACUCCGACAAGCCUCUGAGGUCGCCACUUCAGGAAAGCCGGGGAAGCCAUUAGGAUGCAGUCCGGUAUUCUCAACAGAAGGCAAGAAGAUUGCAAACCGAAUCUUAUGGGGCGGGAAGAUUCUCCUCCAGCACUUGAAUUUCUAAAUCAGGCUGGGUUCGAGUUACUCUAUGAAGCCACCCACGGGGACACUGAGGCAAAGGAAACCCGUUCCUGCCUUCUAGGGUCGUGUGUGCCAGGCAUCUAAAGAGGGGGUUAGGAUCGUGGCUGUGGCUGCCAUUGGCACAUGUGAGGUAA